GAGUUUGAUUCUGGCUCAGGAUGAACGCACAAGACGUGCCUAACACAUGCAAAUCGAAUGAAAACAAUUUAAUUAAAUUGUUUUCAUGGUGAACGGGUGAGUAACACAUAAGAAUCAGCUUUUAGAUAAGGCAUAAAAGAGUAAUAUCUUGGUAAUUCCUUAUAUGCGCAGCAGUGCUUAAAAAGGGGACUCCCGUCUAAAAACGAGCUUAUGCCUGAUUAGCUAGUUGGCGAGUUAAAAGCUCACCAAGGCGAAGAUCAGUAGCUGGCCUGAGAGGGCGGCCAGCCACAUUGGGACUGAGACACGGCCCAAACUCCUACGGGAGGCAGCAGUGGGGAAUCUUCUGCAAUGGGCGCAAGCCUGACAGAGCGGCGUCGUGUGAAGGAAGAAGGCCUGAAAUAGGUUGUAAACUUCUUUUACUGAGUAAUGAAUAAUGACAACGCAGUAAAAAAGUAUCGGCUAACUCCGUGCCAGCAGCCGCGGUAAUACGGGGGAUGCAAGCGUUAUCCGGAAUAACUGGGCGUAAAGCGUCUGUAGGUGGUUUAGUGUGUUCUUAGUUAAAUUCUGAAGCCUAACUUCAUGAAAAGUAAGAAAACUAUUAGACUUGAGUACGAAAGGGGUAAGAGGAAUUCUUCGAGAAGUAGUGAAAUGCGAAGAUACGAAGGAGAAGAUCAUAAGCGAAGGCUUCUUACUGGGUCGUAACUGACACUGAGAGACGAAAGCUAGGGGAGCGAAUGGGAUUAGAUACCCCAGUAGUCCUAGCUGUAAACGAUGGAUAUUCGGUGCCGGAAAUUUUAUUAGAACAUUUCGGUACCCUAGCUAACGCGUUAAAUAUCCCGCCUGAGGAGUACGCUCGCAAGGGUGAAACUCAAAGGAAUUGACGGGGGCUCGCACAAGCGGUGGAGCAUGUGGUUUAAUUCGAUGCAAAGCGAAGAACCUUACCAGGGCUUGACAGUAUGUAU
This 962-nucleotide ribosomal RNA is filed under the name uncultured candidate division CAB-I bacterium. RNAcentral's name for it is "bacterial SSU rRNA". It matches the Rfam family "Bacterial small subunit ribosomal RNA", at positions 9 to 994 of the family's 1533-position model. The record is from RNAcentral.